Molecule: ribosomal RNA, 246 nt
Filed under: uncultured bacterium
Lineage: Bacteria
Description: partial 16S ribosomal RNA
Rfam family: Bacterial small subunit ribosomal RNA
Source: RNAcentral
GCAAGUCGAACGCGAAAGUACUUUGGUACGAGUAGAGUGGCGAAAGGGCGAGUAAAGCAUUCCUAACGUGCCCCAAGGUGCGGGAUAGCAUCGGGAAACUGAUGGUAAUACCGCAUGAUCCUGAGUUGUCGUAUGGCAUUUCAGGCAAAGGUUUACUGCCUUGGGAUCGGGGAAUGUGCUAUCAGGUUGUUGGUGAGGUAACGGCUCACCAAGCCAAUGACGGCUAGCGGGUGUGAGAGCAUGACC